UGGGGAAUUUUGGACAAUGGGCGAAAGCCUGAUCCAGCAAUGCCGCGUGUGUGAAGAAGGCCUUCGGGUUGUAAAGCACUUUUGUCCGGAAAGAAAUCCUUGGCUCUAAUACAGUCGGGGGAUGACGGUACCGGAAGAAUAAGCACCGGCUAACUACGUGCCAGCAGCCGCGGUAAUACGUAGGGUGCAAGCGUUAAUCGGAAUUACUGGGCGUAAAAGCGUGCGCAGGCGGUUUGCUAAGACCGAUGUGAAAUCCCCGGGCUCAACCUGGGAACUGCAUUGGUGACUGGCAGGCUAGAGUAUGGCAGAGGGGGGUAGAAUUCCACGUGUAGCAGUGAAAUGCGUAGAGAUGUGGAGGAAUACCGAUGGCGAAGGCAGCCCCCUGGGCCAAUACUGACGCUCAUGCACGAAAGCGUGGGGAGCAAAACAGGAUUAGAUACCCUGGUAGUCCACGCCCUAAAACGAUGUCAACUAGUUGUUGGGGAUUCAUUUCCUUAGUAACGUAGCUAACGCGUG
This 516-nucleotide ribosomal RNA is filed under the name uncultured bacterium. RNAcentral's name for it is "partial 16S ribosomal RNA". It matches the Rfam family "Bacterial small subunit ribosomal RNA", at positions 355 to 861 of the family's 1533-position model. The record is from RNAcentral.